RNAcentral lists this ribosomal RNA (956 nucleotides) under Phellinus robustus. RNAcentral describes it as "LSU rRNA". It matches the Rfam family "Eukaryotic large subunit ribosomal RNA", at positions 38 to 966 of the family's 3401-position model. The record is from RNAcentral. Lineage: Eukaryota; Fungi; Basidiomycota; Agaricomycetes; Hymenochaetales; Hymenochaetaceae.
GCAUAUCAUAAGCGGAGGAAAAGAAACUAACAAAGGAUUCCCCUAGUAACUGCGAGUGAAGCGGGAAGAGCUCAAAUUUAAAAUCUGGCAGUCUUCUGGCUGUCCGAGUUGUAAUCUGGAGAAGCGUUUUCUGUGUUAGACCGUGUACAAGUCUCCUGGAACGGAGCGUCAUAGAGGGUGAGAAUCCCGUCCAUGACACGGACUACUAAUACUUUGUGAUACGCUCUCGAAGAGUCGAGUUGUUUGGGAAUGCAGCUCAAAAUGGGUGGUAAAUUCCAUCUAAAGCUAAAUACAGGCGAGAGACCGAUAGCGAACAAGUACCGUGAGGGAAAGAUGAAAAGCACUUUGGAAAGAGAGUUAAACAGUACGUGAAAUUGUUGAAAGGGAAACGCUUGAAGUCAGUCGCGUUGUGCAGAACUCAGCCUUGCCUUGGCUUGGUGUACUUUCUGCACAACGGGUCAACAUCAAUUUUGGCCUAUGGAGAAAGGUGGGGGGAAUGUAGCGCUGUUUCGGCAGCGUGUUAUAGCCCUCUAUUGUAUACAUGGGCUGGGAUUGAGGAUCGCAGCACGCCCUUGUGGCCGGGGGUUCGCCCUACGUACCGUGCUUAGGAUGUUGGCAGAAUGGCUUUAAGCGACCCGUCUUGAAACACGGACCAAGGAGUCUAACAUGCUUGCGAGUGUUCGGGUGGAAAACCCUUGUGCGUAAUGAAAGUGAAAGUUGGGAACCUCCGCAAGGGGGUGCACCGACGCCCGGCCCUGACGUUCUCUGACGGUGCUGCGGUAGAGCAAGUAUGCUAGGACCCGAAAGAUGGUGAACUAUGCCUGAAUAGGGCGAAGCCAGAGGAAACUCUGGGUGGAGGCUCGUAGCGAUUCUGACGUGCAAAUCGAUCGUCAAAUUUGGGUAUAGGGGCGAAAGACUUAAAUCGAACCCAUCUAGUAGCUGGGUUCCUGCCGAAG